GACGAACGCUGGCGGCGUGCCUAAUACAUGCAAGUUGAGCGAUGAAGCUUGGUGCUUGCACCAAUUUGAAGAGCAGCGAACGGGUGAGUAACGCGUGGGGAAUCUGCCUUUGAGCGGGGGACAACAUUUGGAAACGAAUGCUAAUACCGCAUAACAACUUUAAACAUAAGUUUUAAGUUUGAAAGAUGCAAUUGCAUCACUCAAAGAUGAUCCCGCGUUGUAUUAGCUAGUUGGUGAGGUAAAGGCUCACCAAGGCGAUGAUACAUAGCCGACCUGAGAGGGUGAUCGGACACAUUGGGACUGAGACACGGCCCAAACUCCUACGGGAGGCAGCAGUAGGGAAUAUUCGGCAAUGGACGAAAGUCUGACCGAGCAACGCCGCGUGAGUGAAGAAGGUUUUCGGAUCGUAAAACUCUGUUGGUAGAGAAGAACGUUGGUGAGAGUGGAAAGCUCAUCAAGUGACGGUAACUACCCAGAAAGGGACGGCUAACUACGUG
This 497-nucleotide ribosomal RNA is filed under the name uncultured bacterium. RNAcentral describes it as "partial 16S ribosomal RNA". It matches the Rfam family "Bacterial small subunit ribosomal RNA", at positions 28 to 507 of the family's 1533-position model. The record is from RNAcentral.